UACGGAGGGUGCAAGCGUUAUCCGGAAUCACUGGGUUUAAAGGGUACGUAGGCGGUCUAAUAAGUCAGGUGUGAAAUACCGCGGCCUAACUGCGGAACUGCACUUGAUACUGCUAGACUUGAGUAGGGUGGAGGUACACGGAAUGCAUCAUGUAGCGGUGAAAUGCUUAGAUAUGAUGUAGAACACCGAUAGCGAAGGCAGUGUGCCACACCUAUACUGACGCUGAGGUACGAAAGCGUGGGGAGCGAACAGG
RNAcentral lists this ribosomal RNA (253 nucleotides) under uncultured bacterium. RNAcentral's name for it is "partial 16S ribosomal RNA". It matches the Rfam family "Bacterial small subunit ribosomal RNA", at positions 524 to 776 of the family's 1533-position model. The record is from RNAcentral.